GACGAACGCUGGCGGCGUGCUUAACACAUGCAAGUCGAACGGAAAGGCCUGCUUUCCCUUGUGGAUUGCGGGUACUCGAGUGGCGAACGGGUGAGUAACACGUGAGUGAUCUGCCCCCAACUUGGGUAUAAGCCUGGGAAACUGGGUCUAAUUCCCGAUAGGACUGCAGGGUGGCGCCUGUGGUGGAAAACGAUUUUCUAGUGGUUGGGGAUGAGCUCGCGGCCUAUCAGCUUGUUGGUGGGGUAAUGGCCUACCAAGGCGGCGACGGGUAGCCGGCCUGAGAGGGUGGACGGCCACAUUGGGACUGAGAUACGGCCCAGACUCCUACGGGAGGCAGCAGUGGGGAAUAUUGCACAAUGGGCGGAAGCCUGAUGCAGCGACGCCGCGUGGGGGAUGACGGCCUUCGGGUUGUAAACUCCUUUCGACCGCGAGGAAGCCACCUGGUUGGAAGGGUGGUGACGGUAGUGGUAGAAGAAGCACCGGCUAACUACGUG
RNAcentral lists this ribosomal RNA (494 nucleotides) under uncultured bacterium. RNAcentral describes it as "partial 16S ribosomal RNA". It matches the Rfam family "Bacterial small subunit ribosomal RNA", at positions 28 to 507 of the family's 1533-position model. The record is from RNAcentral.